AACGACGACCACCCUGAGUUCGGUUUAAUUGAGAAGUGUCUGCGGUUAACCACAACGUUCUAAUUGGGAUCACUUUGUUAACCAGCAGCACACUCCUCACUAGGGUGGCCGUUCGUUCGGCAGAUUUGUUCGGGAAAAGAGUCAUUCGAAUGGCUGGGCUAUAGAAACCAGCCAUUCAUACGAACGGGGGACAAACAGACGAACGGGC
Non-coding RNA from Pelobates cultripes (western spadefoot toad), 208 nucleotides. The record is from the annotation of a GenBank genome assembly. Lineage: Eukaryota; Metazoa; Chordata; Amphibia; Anura; Pelobatidae.